Molecule: ribosomal RNA, 1530 nt
Filed under: Klebsiella aerogenes
Lineage: Bacteria; Pseudomonadati; Pseudomonadota; Gammaproteobacteria; Enterobacterales; Enterobacteriaceae
Description: bacterial LSU rRNA
Rfam family: Bacterial large subunit ribosomal RNA
Source: RNAcentral
CUGGGAAACAGGUUAAUAUUCCUGUACUUGGUGUUACUGCGAAGGGGGGACGGAGAAGGCUAUGUUAGCCGGGCGACGGUUGUCCCGGUUUAAGCAUGUAGGCGGAGGUUCCAGGUAAAUCCGGUACCUUUUAACGCUGAGGUGUGAUGACGAGGCACUACGGUGCUGAAGUAACAAAUGCCCUGCUUCCAGGAAAAGCCUCUAAGCAUCAGGUAACAUUAAAUCGUACCCCAAACCGACACAGGUGGUCAGGUAGAGAAUACCAAGGCGCUUGAGAGAACUCGGGUGAAGGAACUAGGCAAAAUGGUGCCGUAACUUCGGGAGAAGGCACGCUGGUGUGUAGGUGAAGUCCCUGCGGACGGAGCUGAGACCAGUCGAAGAUACCAGCUGGCUGCAACUGUUUAUUAAAAACACAGCACUGUGCAAACACGAAAGUGGACGUAUACGGUGUGACGCCUGCCCGGUGCCUGAAGGUUAAUUGAUGGGGUUAUCCGUAAGGAGAAGCUCUUGAUCGAAGCCCCGGUAAACGGCGGCCGUAACUAUAACGGUCCUAAGGUAGCGAAAUUCCUUGUCGGGUAAGUUCCGACCUGCACGAAUGGCGUAAUGAUGGCUAGGCUGUCUCCACCCGAGACUCAGUGAAAUUGAACUCGCUGUGAAGAUGCAGUGUACCCGCGGCAAGACGGAAAGACCCCGUGAACCUUUACUAUAGCUUGACACUGAACAUUGAGCCUUGAUGUGUAGGAUAGGUGGGAGGCUUUGAAGCGUGGACGCCAGUCUGCGUGGAGCCAACCUUGAAAUACCACCCUUUAAUGUUUGAUGUUCUAACGUAGGCCCCUGACCGGGGUUGCGGACAGUGUCUGGUGGGUAGUUUGACUGGGGCGGUCUCCUCCCAAAGAGUAACGGAGGAGCACGAAGGUUAGCUAAUCCUGGUCGGACAUCAGGAGGUUAGUGCAAUGGCAUAAGCUAGCUUGACUGCGAGCGUGACGGCGCGAGCAGGUGCGAAAGCAGGUCAUAGUGAUCCGGUGGUUCUGAAUGGAAUGGCCAUCGCUCAACGGAUAAAAGGUACUCCGGGGAUAACAGGCUGAUACCGCCCAAGAGUUCAUAUCGACGGCGGUGUUUGGCACCUCGAUGUCGGCUCAUCACAUCCUGGGGCUGAAGUAGGUCCCAAGGGUAUGGCUGUUCGCCAUUUAAAGUGGUACGCGAGCUGGGUUUAGAACGUCGUGAGACAGUUCGGUCCCUAUCUGCCGUGGGCGCUGGAGAAUUGAGGGGGGCUGCUCCUAGUACGAGAGGACCGGAGUGGACGCAUCACUGGUGUUCGGGUUGUCAUGCCAAUGGCACUGCCCGGUAGCUAAAUGCGGAAGAGAUAAGUGCUGAAAGCAUCUAAGCACGAAACUUGCCCCGAGAUGAGUUCUCCCUGAGACUAUAAGUCUCCUGAAGGAACGUUGAAGACGACGACGUUGAUAGGCCGGGUGUGUAAGCGCAGCGAUGCGUUGAGCUAACCGGUACUAAUGAACCGUGAGGCUUAACCUU